This 329-nucleotide ribosomal RNA is filed under the name uncultured eukaryote. RNAcentral's name for it is "partial 18S ribosomal RNA". It matches the Rfam family "Eukaryotic small subunit ribosomal RNA", at positions 1470 to 1796 of the family's 1831-position model. The record is from RNAcentral.
CCCUUAGAUGUUCUGGGCCGCACGCGCGCUACACUGAUGCAUUCAACGAGUCUAAAACCUGCUCUGAUAGGGGUGGGUAAUCUUUUGAAUGUGCAUUGUGAUUGGGAUAGAUGAUUGCAAUUUUUCAUCUUCAACGAGGAAUGCCUAGUAAACGCAAGUCAUCAGCUUGCAUUGAUUACGUCCCUGCCCUUUGUACACACCGCCCGUCGCUCCUACCGAUUGAAUGAUCCGAUGAAUAUCAUGGAUUGAGGAUGCAGGUAGGUUAGCCUAUCUUCAUCUUCGAGAAGUGAAGUAAAUCUUAUCAUUUAGAGGAAGGAGAAGUCGUAACA